GAUGAACGCUGGCGGCGUGCCUAAUACAUGCAAGUCGAGCGAACAGAAGAGGAGCUUGCUCCUCUGACGUUAGCGGCGGACGGGUGAGUAACACGUGGAUAACCUACCUAUAAGACUGGGAUAACUUCGGGAAACCGGAGCUAAUACCGGAUAAUAUAUUGAACCGCAUGGUUCAAUAGUGAAAGACGGUUUUGCUGUCACUUAUAGAUGGAUCCGCGCCGCAUGAGCUAGUUGGUAAGGUAACGGCUUCCCAAGGCGACGAGGCGUAGCCGACCUGAGAGGGUGAUCGGCCACACUGGAACGGAGACACGGCCCAGACCCCGACGGGAGGCAGCAGUAGGGAAUCUUCCGCAAUGGGCGAAAGCCUGACGGAGCAACGCCGCGUGAGGGAUGAAGGUCUUCGGAUCGUAGAACUCUGUUAUUAGGGAAGAACAAAAGUGUAAGUAACUAUGCACGUCGUGACGGUACCUGGUCAGAAAGCCACGGCUAACUACGUG
RNAcentral lists this ribosomal RNA (497 nucleotides) under uncultured bacterium. RNAcentral's name for it is "partial 16S ribosomal RNA". It matches the Rfam family "Bacterial small subunit ribosomal RNA", at positions 28 to 507 of the family's 1533-position model. The record is from RNAcentral.